This 253-nucleotide ribosomal RNA is filed under the name uncultured bacterium. RNAcentral's name for it is "partial 16S ribosomal RNA". It matches the Rfam family "Bacterial small subunit ribosomal RNA", at positions 524 to 776 of the family's 1533-position model. The record is from RNAcentral.
UACAGAGGGUGCGAGCGUUAAUCGGAAUUACUGGGCGUAAAGGGUGCGUAGGUGGUGACAUAAGUUAGAUGUGAAAUUCCCGGGCUUAACCUGGGGACUGCGCCUAAUACUGUGUGACUAGAGUCUUGUAGAGGAAGGUGGAAUUUCCGGUGUAGCGGUGAAAUGCGUAGAUAUCGGAAGGAACAUCAGUGGCGAAGGCGACCUUCUGGACAAAGACUGACACUGAGGCACGAAAGCAUGGGGAGCAAACAGG